Molecule: ribosomal RNA, 434 nt
Filed under: uncultured bacterium
Lineage: Bacteria
Description: partial 16S ribosomal RNA
Rfam family: Bacterial small subunit ribosomal RNA
Source: RNAcentral
AGCGAACGCUGGCGGCAGGCCUAACACAUGCAAGUCGAACGAACCUUUCGGGGUUAGUGGCGGACGGGGGAGUAACACGUGGGAACGUGCCUUUAGGUUCGGCAUAACUCAGGGAAACUUGUGCUAAUACCGAAUGUGCCCUUCUGGGGAAUGAUUAAUAGCCUCUAGAGCGGCACGCGUCUGAUUAGCUAGUUGGGUGAGGUAAUGGCUCACCAAGGCGACGAUCAGUAGCUGGUCAGAGAGCAAGAUCAGCCACAUUGGUACUGAGACGCGGCCCAAACUCCUACGGGAGGCAGCAGUGGGGAAUCUUGCACAAUGGGCGAAGGCCUGACGCAGCCCUGCCGCGUGAAUGAUGAAGGUCUUAGGAUUGUAAAAUUCUUUCACCGGGGACGAUAAUGACGGUACCCGGAGAAGAAGCCCCGGCUAACUUCGUG